GCCGCGGUAUUUUGACCGUGCGAAGGUAGCAUAAUCAUUAGUCUUUUAAUUGAAGGCUUGUAUGAAGGGUUGGACGAGAAAUAAGCUGUCUUUAUUGGAAAAAUAGAAUUUAACUUUUAAGUGAGAGGGCUUAAAUGUUCUAAAGGGACGAUAAGACCCUAUAAAGUUUGACAUUUUAUUCAUUAAAAAAUAAAAUAAUUAAUUAAUUUUUAUUAGUGGGGGUAAUGUUUUGUUGGGGCGAUUAGAAUAUAAAAAAUUUAACUGUUUUAUAUUAAUACAAAGUUGUUUGAGUGUUUUGAUCCUUAAUAAAGGUAUUAGAGUAAAUUACUUUAGGGAUAACAGCGUAAUUUUUUUUGAGAGUUCUUAUCGACAAAAAAGUUUGCGACCUCGAUGUUGAAUUAAAGAAUUCUUUAUAGCGCAGAAGUUAUAAAAGAAGGUCUGUUCGACCUUUAAAUCUUUACAU
Molecule: ribosomal RNA, 463 nt
Filed under: Engaeus sericatus
Lineage: Eukaryota; Metazoa; Arthropoda; Malacostraca; Decapoda; Parastacidae
Description: partial large subunit ribosomal RNA
Rfam family: Bacterial large subunit ribosomal RNA
Source: RNAcentral